CCUACGGGCGGCAGCAGUGAGGAAUAUUGGUCAAUGGCCGAGAGGCUGAACCAGCCAAGUCGCGUGAGUGAAGACGGCCCUACGGGUUUUAAGCCUCUUUUGUCAGGGAGCAAGUUGCAGGUCGGGACCUGCUGUGCGAGUCCCUGAAGCAAAAGCAUCGGCUAACUCCGUGCCAGCAGCCGCGGUAAUACGGAGGAUCCGAGCGUUAUCCGGAUUUAUUGGGUUUAAAGGGUGCGUAGGCGGCCUUUUAAGUCAGCGGUGAAAGUCUGUGGCUCAACCAUAGAAUUGCGGUUGAAACUGGGGGGCUUGAGUAGGGUUGAGGCAGGCGGAAUGCGUGGUGUAGCGGUGAAAUGCGUAGAUAUUACGCAGAACCCCGAUUGCGAAGGCAGCCUGCUAAGCCAUGACUGACGCUGAUGCACGAAAGCGUGGGGAUCAAACAGGAUUAGAUACCCUAGUAGUC
RNAcentral lists this ribosomal RNA (460 nucleotides) under uncultured bacterium. Its description in RNAcentral is "partial 16S ribosomal RNA". It matches the Rfam family "Bacterial small subunit ribosomal RNA", at positions 338 to 795 of the family's 1533-position model. The record is from RNAcentral.